CUCAUUAAGAAUAGGUGGCUACUCUCCGAAGAGGAAGAGUUCUCUACCUGAUACAGAUAUUGGAUGCUAAAGCCAAAAUAUUGCAUACUAGUGCCAAAUCUCAUAGAUUAUCGUCUCCAUACCGUUUAUUUUCAGAAUGUCCUCUGUAUUUCUUUACUUUCAGACUGUUGAACCUAUUUUCUUUCUACUUCUAGUUGCAACAUAUUAACUUGUUUGAAGG
Pelobates cultripes (western spadefoot toad) is the source of this 220-nucleotide non-coding RNA. Lineage: Eukaryota; Metazoa; Chordata; Amphibia; Anura; Pelobatidae. The record is from the annotation of a GenBank genome assembly.